ACGCCAAAGAAGACACAACUUCCUUCUUUAUGCAACACAUAAAAAUGGAGUGGCGUCAGAUUUUAGCAGUUGGAAGAUUACUGUUUGGCAAAAGACCCCGAGAGUUCACGUCAGAGGAACCGAAACCUAUGUGUGUCGGCGGAUCAGAGUUCGCUUUGUUGGUCCACGUCAGACUUUGACUGCGCAUCCGAACCUCCCCAAGCGAACCAGACUUUCUAGGCACAAUAAGGGGCAGUUUGGGGUUCAAUGUCAUCUGGUGAUGUUGGUCUGAUGGCUUUGAUAAACUCCACUGUCAACGCAGUCAUCUGUCCCUUGUUAGGACACCAGACCCAGCAAUGCAGAAGACCAGAGGACAUGUAUCACAGCAACCUGGGCUUCCAUUACACUCCAGCAGAACAAGCACACUGCGCUGAUGCAGCAAUUCAUGCAAAAGGAGCCACAGCAAAGAGCAUCAGUGCAUAGAAGUGAACACAGUUUUCAGAAGCCUGACAUUUCUGUUUAAAACAUCUUUACUUGUUGAUCUUAUGUAAUGUCAUUUUGUGAGACACUCAAUUUUUGGUUUUUCUGUAAGCCAUGAUUAUCAAAACAACAAGAAAUCAAGGGUCACAUUUAUCACUGUGGACUGAAUCUGUACUUGAGCUUCACUUUCUGAAAUGGGUCACAAAAAAUAUUCAGCCUUUUCAACUAACUCUAGUUUUUAAAGAUGUACCUUCACUAAUAAUAUAACAAUGUGUUUGAGAGUGAAAUUAGGACUUUUGCAGACAU
Molecule: non-coding RNA, 765 nt
Organism: Poecilia reticulata (guppy)
Lineage: Eukaryota; Metazoa; Chordata; Actinopteri; Cyprinodontiformes; Poeciliidae
Source: RefSeq, a predicted model, not a curated record